ACUCCUACGGGAGGCAGCAGUGGGGAAUAUUGCACAAUGGGCGCAAGCCUGAUGCAGCGACGCCGCGUGGGGGAUGACGGCCUUCGGGUUGUAAACCUCUUUCAGCACAGACGAAGCGUAAGUGACGGUAUGUGCAGAAGAAGCACCGGCCAACUACGUGCCAGCAGCCGCGGUAAU
RNAcentral lists this ribosomal RNA (177 nucleotides) under uncultured Mycobacterium sp. RNAcentral's name for it is "partial 16S ribosomal RNA". It matches the Rfam family "Bacterial small subunit ribosomal RNA", at positions 335 to 524 of the family's 1533-position model. The record is from RNAcentral. Lineage: Bacteria; Bacillati; Actinomycetota; Actinomycetes; Mycobacteriales; Mycobacteriaceae.